RNAcentral lists this ribosomal RNA (241 nucleotides) under Proteus mirabilis. RNAcentral's name for it is "partial 16S ribosomal RNA". It matches the Rfam family "Bacterial small subunit ribosomal RNA", at positions 548 to 787 of the family's 1533-position model. The record is from RNAcentral. Lineage: Bacteria; Pseudomonadati; Pseudomonadota; Gammaproteobacteria; Enterobacterales; Morganellaceae.
UAUCGGAUUACUGGGCGUAAGCGCACGCUAGCGGUUUUUAAGUCAGAUGUUGAAGCCCCGAGCUUAACUUGGGAAUUGCAUCUGGAACUGUUUGGCUUGAGCUUGUUGAGGUUGCUGGAAUUCCACGUGUAGCGGUGAAAUGCGUAGAGAUGUGGAGGAAUACCGGUGGCGAAGGCGGCCCCCUGGACAUUAACUGACGCUGAGGUGCGAAAGCGUGGGGAGCAAACAGGAUUAGAAACCC